GUGCCAGCAGCCGCGGUAAUACGUAUGGGGCAAGCGUUGUUCGGAUUCACUGGGCGUAAAGGGCGUGUAGGCGGUGAGGUAAGUCGGAUGUGAAAUCUCUGGGCUCAACCCGGAAAUUGCAUUCGAUACUGCCUCGCUAGAGUACCGGAGAGGGAGACGGAAUUCCUGGUGUAGGGGUGAAAUCUGUAGAUAUCAGGAGGAACACCAGUGGCGAAGGCGGUCUCCUGGCCGGAUACUGACGCUGAGGCGCGAAAGCUAGGGGAGCAAACAGGAUUAGAUACCCUGGUAGUCCUAGCUGUAAACGUUGUGCACUAGGUGUGAGUGGCUUGUCCACUCGUGCCGAAGCUAACGCAUUAAGUGCACCGCCUGGGGAGUAUGCUCGCAAGGGUGAAACUUAAAUGAAUUGACGGGG
This 412-nucleotide ribosomal RNA is filed under the name uncultured prokaryote. Its description in RNAcentral is "bacterial SSU rRNA". It matches the Rfam family "Bacterial small subunit ribosomal RNA", at positions 505 to 918 of the family's 1533-position model. The record is from RNAcentral.